Long non-coding RNA from Lutra lutra (Eurasian river otter), 228 nucleotides. RefSeq lists it as uncharacterized. The record is from RefSeq and is a predicted model, not a curated record. Lineage: Eukaryota; Metazoa; Chordata; Mammalia; Carnivora; Mustelidae. The transcript is spliced from 3 exons.
GGAAGCACACUUUGAGAAUCUCUGCUUCAAGAAGCCCAGGAGGCAGAGUAUCACUCCAAGCUCCACUCUGUUUCCUUCUGGCAGGAUCACUUACAGGUUUUAUUGAGAGCCUCACAAUACUGACGGCAUUUUGGGAAAGAAGAAAGACAAGUAUCUAAUCCUUCAUGUGUAUAUAGGAAGACACUCACAAUGGUCCAGAAUCAUCUUAUACAGAGACAAACAAACAGG